Molecule: ribosomal RNA, 447 nt
Filed under: uncultured bacterium
Lineage: Bacteria
Description: partial 16S ribosomal RNA
Rfam family: Bacterial small subunit ribosomal RNA
Source: RNAcentral
CCAGACUCCUACGGGAGGCAGCAGUGGGGGAUAUUGCACAAUGGGGGAAACCCUGAUGCAGCGACGCCGCGUGAGCGAUGAAGUAUUUCGGUAUGUAAAGCUCUAUCAGCAGGGAAGAAAAUGACGGUACCUGACUAGGAAGCCCCGGCUAACUACGUGCCAGCAGCCGCGGUAAUACGUAGGGGGCAAGCGUUAUCCGGAUUUACUGGGUGUAAAGGGAGCGUAGACGGCGGCGCAAGCCAGAUGUGAAAGCCCGGGGCCCAACCCCGGGACUGCUCUUGGAACUGCGCGGCUGGAGUGCAGGAGGGGCAGGCGGAAUUCCUGGUGUAGCGGCGAAAUGCGUAGAUAUCAGGAGGAACACCGGUGGCGAAGGCGGCCUGCUGGACUGCGACUGACGUUGAGGCCCGAAAGCGUGGGGAGCAAACAGGAUUAGAUACCCCCGUAUUA